UACGUAGGUGGCAAGCGUUGUCCGGAAUUAUUGGGCGUAAAGCGCGCGUAGGUGGGAUGGUAAGUCUGUCUUAAAAGUGCGGGGGCUCAACCCCGUGAUGGGGCGGAUACUGCUAUUCUUGAGUGCAGGAGAGGAAAGCGGAAUUCCCGGUGUAGCGGUGAAAUGCGUAGAUAUUGGGAGGAACACCAGUGGCGAAGGCGGCUUUCUGGACUGUGUCUGACACUGAGGCGCGAAAGCCAGGGGAG
Molecule: ribosomal RNA, 245 nt
Filed under: uncultured bacterium
Lineage: Bacteria
Description: partial 16S ribosomal RNA
Rfam family: Bacterial small subunit ribosomal RNA
Source: RNAcentral